AUGCCUUACACAUGCAAGCCGAACGGCAGCACGGGUGCUUGCACCUGGUGGCGAGUGGCGAACGGGUGAGUAAUACNUCGGAACAUGUCCUGUAGUGGGGGAUAGCCCGGCGAAAGCCGGAUUAAUACCGCAUACGAUCUGAGGAUGAAAGCGGGGGACCUUCGGGCCUCGCGCUAUAGGGUUGGCCGAUGGCUGAUUAGCUAGUUGGUGGGGUAAAGGCCUACCAAGGCGACGAUCAGUAGCUGGUCUGAGAGGACGACCAGCCACACUGGGACUGAGACACGGCCCAGACUCCUACGGGAGGCAGCAGUGGGGAAUUUUGGACAAUGGGCGAAAGCCUGAUCCAGCAAUGCCGCGUGUGUGAAGAAGGCCUUCGGGUUGUAAAGCACUUUUGUCCGGAAAGAAAUCCUUGGUUCUAAUAUANCCGGGGGAUGACGGUACCGGAAGAAUAAGCACCGGCUAACUACNUGCCAGCAGCCGCGGUAAUACGUANGGUGCAAGCGUUAAUCGNAAUUACUGGGCGUAAAGCGUGCGCNGGCGGUUUGCUAANACCGAUGUGAAAUCCCCGGGCUCAA
RNAcentral lists this ribosomal RNA (575 nucleotides) under uncultured Burkholderia sp. Its description in RNAcentral is "bacterial SSU rRNA". It matches the Rfam family "Bacterial small subunit ribosomal RNA", at positions 44 to 612 of the family's 1533-position model. The record is from RNAcentral. Lineage: Bacteria; Pseudomonadati; Pseudomonadota; Betaproteobacteria; Burkholderiales; Burkholderiaceae.